UUCCAGACUCCUACGGGAGGCAGCAGUGGGGGAUAUUGCACAAUGGGGGGAACCCUGAUGCAGCGACGCCGCGUGGGUGAAGGAGUAUUUCGGUAUGUAAAGCCCUAUCGGCAGGGAAGAAGAAAGACGGUACCUGACUAAGAAGCCCCGGCUAACUCCGUGCCAGCAGCCGCGGUAAUACGGAGGAUGCGAGCGUUAUCCGGAUUUAUUGGGUUUAAAGGGUGCGUAGGCGGAAUGCCAAGUCAGCGGUAAAAUCGCGGGGCUCAACCUCGCUCCGCCGUUGAAACUGGCGUUCUUGAGUGGGCGAGAAGUAUGCGGAAUGCGUGGUGUAGCGGUGAAAUGCGUAGAUAUCACGCAGAACUCCGAUUGCGAAGGCAGCAUACCGGCGCCCAACUGACGCUGAAGCACGAAAGCGUGGGUAUCGAACAGGAUUAGAUACCCCGGUA
RNAcentral lists this ribosomal RNA (446 nucleotides) under uncultured bacterium. Its description in RNAcentral is "partial 16S ribosomal RNA". It matches the Rfam family "Bacterial small subunit ribosomal RNA", at positions 329 to 792 of the family's 1533-position model. The record is from RNAcentral.